AAAAUAUUCUAUUUUCUUAUAAAACAAUAUUUUUAGAGUUAUAUGUAAAUAAUUUUUGCAGCGUAAAAGCAAAAUAAAUUCAUACAUACUGUAAUACAGUAAGCCAGAGUAUUUAAUUUAAUUUACAAUAACCAGUGGGCCCUCGAAUAACCAAAAGUAAGGAAGACUAUGAACCUACAGUUUGGAGGAUGCAAAUCCAAUGAUAGCCUCGAUGAAACUAGCUAUCUACAGCCUAUUCUGAUAUUGAAAUGGGUGGAAAGGAGGGUGGUGAGAUUAUAUAAUCCCAGUGAGUAAACAAACAUCAUCCAAAAUAUCUAC
RNAcentral lists this long non-coding RNA (318 nucleotides) under Theobroma cacao (cacao). Its description in RNAcentral is "long non-coding RNA (TCAC_LNC004563)". Lineage: Eukaryota; Viridiplantae; Streptophyta; Magnoliopsida; Malvales; Malvaceae. The record is from RNAcentral.